ACGGGUUUUGUCAUGGAUUUUGAGAAAUAAGCUGUUUUGGGAAGAUGAAGGCAGAAGUGAUUAUGGGGAAUUAAACAGAAGCAUCAAGAAGGAUUAAAGAUUCCAUAAGUGAUUAUCUAGGUAAGUUCCUUUAGAUAGAACCCACCAUUGGGUGUUGUGUGUAUAUUGUGAGAAAUUAACACUUUAUAGAUUUAAAUGUAUAAAUUCUAGUAC
Molecule: long non-coding RNA, 213 nt
Filed under: Medicago truncatula (barrel medic)
Lineage: Eukaryota; Viridiplantae; Streptophyta; Magnoliopsida; Fabales; Fabaceae
Description: long non-coding RNA (MTRU_LNC003083)
Source: RNAcentral